Long non-coding RNA from Panicum virgatum (switchgrass), 1003 nucleotides. RefSeq lists it as uncharacterized. The transcript has 2 exons. NCBI's taxonomy places the organism in Eukaryota, Viridiplantae, Streptophyta, Magnoliopsida, Poales, Poaceae. The record is from RefSeq and is a predicted model, not a curated record.
AAGCCGUACUAGAUUUACCUGAUGAGGGUCGGUCCUUAUCACAGUUUUAUGCUAUAUAUGAACUUGGCGAUGUAUCUCAUGAAACUGGCUAAACAUUGCAGACUCUGCGAAAUCUAGAUGUAGAAGUUUCCUAAGACUCUCAAAGAAACAUCGAAUAUAGGAAAUUGCGUGUUCAAUAAUGGAGCGAUGCAUAACUCAAGAUCAAGCACAAUCAUAUCUGCAGGAUAAAAAAAACAAAAUAACAUUUUUUAGACUUCACAAUUCCUUCCUAAACAGUGUGAUGCCCUGCUAUACUGUUUCCCCCCUUUUGCAUCUGGUACAUGCAUUUUGAGUCUGUUCUUCAAAAUUUAAAGUUAUAUAGACCAUGCUCUCCUCUCUUAUAUGUAACUUUGAGAACUUUAGCAUCUAGCCUUUGUGGACGAUAUUUAACAUUUAUCUAAUUUGAACUGUGUAUUUACCCAAUAAAGUUUAGUAUACGCUUACACCUUACACAUGUAUUACACCUUACAUUCUCUUUUCCCUUUUCCCUUCCAUUCUCUGCAUGUACACUUAUGCUCUCUCUUUUUAUUAUUUUGUUUCUCAACAGGUACUGAAAAUUCUCGUAUUUGGUUGAGAUCUAAACUAGGCAUAAGGUAGUGGAAAUGGAUCCUACGGACAACCAAGACGAGUUAAUGCACGAGCUCAUUCGUGGUAGUACUGGGCACAUAGCUCCAGAGUUUGAUGAGGACGAGAACGAUGGCAGCCAAUUUUUAAACUUGCAUUAUCAUGGCGACGAGGAGCAAGAUAUUAGUGGGGAGGAAGAAGGAAAUGUCGAGGAAGCCGAGGUAUAAAAGUUUAGUGAUUCUUUCAGGCAUCAGGAUAAACGUUUUGUCAAUAUAUAUGUUAGGAGCAAGAUAUUGUUUGUGACACAUGCGACCCAGCUGCGAACUAUUUGUGUUAUGUUGCUAGCUUUGUUGAUGAUUUCAGUCCUUGUGUAAGGAGUCGUGCUCCAGCUAAAAAUUCU